AGCAUAUCAAUAAGCGGAGGAAAAGAAACCAACAGGGAUUGCCUCAGUAACGGCGAGUGAAGCGGCAACAGCUCAAAUUUGAAAUCUGGCGUCCGCCCGAGUUGUAAUUUGCAGAGGAUGCUUCGGGGCAGCGGCCGAUCUAAGUCCUUUGGAACAGGGCGUCACAGAGGGUGAGAAUCCCGUAUGUGAUCGGCUGGCACCCCACACGUAGCUCCUUCGACGAGUCGAGUUGUUUGGGAAUGCAGCUCUAAAUGGGAGGUAAAUUUCUUCUAAAGCUAAAUACCGGCCAGAGACCGAUAGCGCACAAGUAGAGUGAUCGAAAGAUGAAAAGCACUUUGGAAAGAGAGUCAAACAGCACGUGAAAUUGUUGAAAGGGAAGCGCAUGCAACCAGACUUGUCGGCGGUGUUCCCCCGGUCUUCUGACCGGGUCACUCGCCGCCGGCAGGCCAGCAUCGUUUGCGACCGCCGGAGAAAGGCGCAGGGAAUGUGGCUCCUCGGAGUGUUAUAGCCCUGCGCACAAUACGGUGCGUCGCGAGCGAGGUCCGCGCUUCGGCUAGGAUGCUGGCGUAAUGGUCGUAUGCGGCCCGUCUUGAAACACGGACCAAGGAGUCUACCAUCUAUGCGAGUGUUCGGGUGUCAAACCCCUACGCGCAAUGAAAGUGAACGGAGGUGGGAACGCAAGUGCACCAUCGACCGAUCCUGAUGUCUUCGGAUGGAUUUGAGUAAGAGCAUAGCUGGUGGGACCCGAAAGAUGGUGAUCUUUACUUGAAUAGGGUGAAGCCAGAGGAAACUCUGGUGGAGGCUCGCAGCGGUUCUGACGUGCAAAUCGAUCGUCAAAUUUGGGUAAAGGGGCGAAAGACUAAUCGAACCAUCUAGUAGCUGGUUCCUGC
RNAcentral lists this ribosomal RNA (890 nucleotides) under Microcyclospora pomicola. Its description in RNAcentral is "LSU rRNA". It matches the Rfam family "Eukaryotic large subunit ribosomal RNA", at positions 37 to 961 of the family's 3401-position model. The record is from RNAcentral. Lineage: Eukaryota; Fungi; Ascomycota; Dothideomycetes; Capnodiales.